Molecule: ribosomal RNA, 292 nt
Filed under: uncultured bacterium
Lineage: Bacteria
Description: partial 16S ribosomal RNA
Rfam family: Bacterial small subunit ribosomal RNA
Source: RNAcentral
GUGUCAGCCGCCGCGGUAAUACGUAGGGUGCGAGCGUUAAUCGGAAUUACUGGGCGUAAAGCGUGCGCAGGCGGUUAUUUAAGCCAGACGUGAAAGCCCCGGGCUUAACCUGGGAAUGGCGUUUGGGACUGGAUAGCUAGAGUACGGCAGAGGGAGGUGGAAUUCCACGUGUAGCAGUGAAAUGCGUAGAGAUGUGGAGGAACACCGAUGGCGAAGGCAGCCUCCUGGGCCAGUACUGACGCUCAUGCACGAAAGCGUGGGGAGCAAACAGGAUUAGAUACCCUUGUAGUCC